Molecule: long non-coding RNA, 684 nt
Filed under: Zostera marina
Lineage: Eukaryota; Viridiplantae; Streptophyta; Magnoliopsida; Alismatales; Zosteraceae
Description: long non-coding RNA (ZMAR_LNC003203)
Source: RNAcentral
GGACAUUAUUUUUUACAAAAUUUUGAAAAUGAUCGAAUUGAAUUAGAUAUUCAACAACUUCUUCAUGUCAAUGAAACGAAUCUGCAAUGAAAUAUAAUAUCAAAAUGAUCGAUUGCAAGCCAAUGUUUUGUUAAGACCUUGGAAACUGACAAUCUAACGAGAUACCUUCCUUAACCGACAUUGAUCAGUAGGGUGGUGCUCGUUACAUCAGAUAUUUCAUUACCUCCGCUCCUUUUACAUCAAAUAUUUCAUUACCGGUCCAUCCGUCAGAUUUAAUCGCAAGAAUCGUCGCCUUAGGUCUUGGUCGCCAAUUUUUCAUGAGAUAUUUUACAUUCUGAAUCCAUGAUAUUGAUGAAAAAGGUUAACGAAAGGCUUUAUCACCACUGAAUAUAAGUAAUAAUUCUUUUUUCGCCAUUUGUGUUGCCUGCCUGAACUUUCUUGACUCAGAUGAAUAAGAGGUUAUUUUACAUUUGUUUGGUGAGAGUUUAAACAUGAAACCUGAAUAUUUAUAUUGAAAUGAUUUUCCAAAAUAUGGAAAGAUAUCAUUUGUUUAAUUAUUUGAUCGAUUUUUAUAUGGAUUUUUUAAAAUAAAGAUUAAUAUUAAAGAUUCUAAUGAAUCCUCUCAUAUCAAAUCUUUUUAUUUUAAAUUUACAAUUUGCAGCCUCCUUUUUAUUAUUAUUAUUA